AGUGAACGCUGGCGGUAGGCCUAACACAUGCAAGUCGAACGGCAGCACAGGAGAGCUUGCUCUCUGGGUGGCGAGUGGCGGACGGGUGAGGAAUACAUCGGAAUCUACUCUGUCGUGGGGGAUAACGUAGGGAAACUUACGCUAAUACCGCAUACGACCUACGGGUGAAAGCAGGGGACCUUCGGGCCUUGCGCGAUUGAAUGAGCCGAUGUCGGAUUAGCUAGUUGGCGGGGUAAAGGCCCACCAAGGCGACGAUCCGUAGCUGGUCUGAGAGGAUGAUCAGCCACACUGGAACUGAGACACGGUCCAGACUCCUACGGGAGGCAGCAGUGGGGAAUAUUGGACAAUGGGCGCAGGCCUGAUCCAGCCAUACCGCGUGGGUGAAGAAGGCCUUCGGGUUGUAAAGCCCUUUUGUUGGGAAAGAAAUCCAGCUGGCUAAUACCCGGUUGGGAUGACGGUACCCAAAGAAUAAGCACCGGCUAACUUCGUGCCAGCAGCAGCCGUAA
RNAcentral lists this ribosomal RNA (506 nucleotides) under uncultured bacterium. RNAcentral describes it as "partial 16S ribosomal RNA". It matches the Rfam family "Bacterial small subunit ribosomal RNA", at positions 29 to 523 of the family's 1533-position model. The record is from RNAcentral.